This is a long non-coding RNA of Rhododendron vialii, 688 nucleotides long. RefSeq lists it as uncharacterized. The record is from RefSeq and is a predicted model, not a curated record. NCBI's taxonomy places the organism in Eukaryota, Viridiplantae, Streptophyta, Magnoliopsida, Ericales, Ericaceae. The transcript is spliced from 2 exons.
AAUUUAAGGUGUAUUUUCAUCACCUUUUCUUUUUCCUCUACCCACCUCUCCAGAAAUCCUUGAUCCAAAACAGCCUAAAUUCUUGGAAAGAAGCUGCAUCCCGCAAAUAUGCCCAACUAAAAUUGAAAUCAACGUCAACCAGUUCUAGAAAUACUACAAUUUACAACGAUCCCAGUUGUACUCAAAGGAUUAACAGAGAACUUCAACAGACUGAAAGCAGAAGCCUCAAGAGUAUGAGAGCAUAUUGGCAUAUAAGAUAUUACGGUAAAUACAUUGGUCAAUUACACCAUUCUUUUGUUUGAACUGCUUGCAUGAAUACAACUCUCAUUCUUGAAGCAGCAAUUUGCUUCAACCAACAUGCAUGUUACAGAAUCUCAGGUUCAGAAUAGUGCUCGCGCCACAACUGUUGGCUGUAAUUUGCUUAAAUCAAAUCAUUAUUUCCUUAGAAUAAAAAAGCACAUGAUUGCUGUCGAACUAUACUUUCCUUGCUCAAAUAACAUUCGGGAGAGACAAAGCACAGUUGCAAAGCAGAAAAACUCAACCAGCAGGAACCAAUUUAAAACUUGUCCCCAUAAUAAUAAGCUGUGCCACCCAUUAAUGCAACGGUAGCACCUUGAGCAACCACACGAGCUCUCAUUAGCUGCUGACCCAAGUGAGAAUUGCCCUGUCUGAAACUGAUUAACCCAGC